This 73-nucleotide transfer RNA is filed under the name Ailuropoda melanoleuca (giant panda). It matches the Rfam family "tRNA". From Rfam's summary of the family: Transfer RNA (tRNA) molecules are approximately 80 nucleotides in length. Lineage: Eukaryota; Metazoa; Chordata; Mammalia; Carnivora; Ursidae. The record is from Rfam by way of RNAcentral.
ACCUGGAUGGCUUAGUCUGUGAAGCAUGAGGCUCUUGAUCUCAGGGUUGUGAGUUCGAGCCCCACAUUGGGCA